GGGGGUGUGGUUCAGUGAAAGAGUGCUUGCCUGGCAGGUAUAAGGUUCUGGGUUCUACUCCUAGCACUACCA
This 72-nucleotide transfer RNA is filed under the name Cricetulus griseus (Chinese hamster). It matches the Rfam family "tRNA". Rfam says of the family: Transfer RNA (tRNA) molecules are approximately 80 nucleotides in length. Their secondary structure includes four short double-helical elements and three loops (D, anti-codon, and T loops). Further hydrogen bonds mediate the characteristic L-shaped molecular structure. tRNAs have two regions of fundamental functional importance: the anti-codon, which is responsible for specific mRNA codon recognition, and the 3' end, to which the tRNAs corresponding amino acid is attached (by aminoacyl-tRNA synthetases). tRNAs cope with the degeneracy of the genetic code in two manners: having more than one tRNA (with a specific anti-codon) for a particular amino acid; and 'wobble' base-pairing, i.e. permitting non-standard base-pairing at the 3rd anti-codon position. Lineage: Eukaryota; Metazoa; Chordata; Mammalia; Rodentia; Cricetidae. The record is from Rfam by way of RNAcentral.